This 623-nucleotide ribosomal RNA is filed under the name Rotifera environmental sample. RNAcentral's name for it is "bacterial SSU rRNA". It matches the Rfam family "Eukaryotic small subunit ribosomal RNA", at positions 585 to 1213 of the family's 1831-position model. Lineage: Eukaryota; Metazoa; Rotifera. The record is from RNAcentral.
CCAGCUCCAAUAGCGUAUAUUAAAGUUGUUGCAGUUAAAAAGCUCGUAGUUGGAUCUCGGGUACUAGCAUGUGGUACGCUUAACUGCGUUACUACAUGUCUGGUCCUAAUCAACCGGUUGGCCGUUGAUGCCCUUUAUUGGGUGUUUUCGGUAGCCGGUACGUUUACUUUGAGAAAAUUAGAGUGCUUAAAGCAGGCCUUACGCCUGAAUAAUGUUGCAUGGAAUAAUAGAAUAGGACCUCGGUUCUAUUUUGUUGGUUUUGUAGAGCAUUGAGGUAAUGAUUAAUAGGGACAGACGGGGGCAUUCGUAUUGCGGUGUUAGAGGUGAAGUUCUUGGAUCGCCGCAAGACGAACAACUGCGAAAGCAUUUGCCAAGAAUGUUUUCAUUAAUCAAGAACGAAAGUUAGGGGAUCGAAGACGAUCAGAUACCGUCGUAGUCUUAACCAUAAACGAUGCCGACUAGGGAUCGGUCAUUGUCGUGACGACAUGAUCGGCACCUUGAGAGAAAUCAAAGUGUUUGGGUUCUGGGGGGAGUAUAGUCGCGAGACCGGAACUUAAAGAAAUUGACGGAAGGACACCACCAGGAGUGGAGCCUGCGGCUUAAUUCGACUCAACAAGGGCGAA